UUAAAUAGUCACUAUGAACCUGUACAAGUCUGUGCUUUUCAUUGCCUUAUGUCUGAUGGUCUUUCAAGAAACAGACGCUCGAUGGAGAAGGUCGAGGAGAGUCUUUUGGAAACCUUCCUCGAGCAGUGGUAUAGCAUCUCUGAUUUGUCGUAAGAUCUUUCAUGUUCAGCAAGAUUGUGUGUAUUGUAAUUGUGAAGCACCACAUACUUCACGCUGUCGCACAUCUUGUGCAGUGAGAGAAGAAAUACGACAAUGUGCAAGAGAAGCUCUGUGUCCACCAGACAUAACAACUACAACGGAAUCGACCGAAACGACAACAGUGCAAGAUCCAACAACAACAACAACGCCGUCCGUUUCAACAACGCCGUCACCGUUCUUGUGUCUCCAGCUUAAUUUCUUAUGUGUGGAACAGGGGGACUGCCCAGAUGGUUUUGAUGGUACGACUAUCCCCUGUCCACCCGGCCAAAGGUGCUGUCGGAUGUCCAGUGCAAUGAAAUGAUGCAGACAUUAUAAAAUAAGGGGGACGCUCGACGCAACGUAACUCAAGAUGCAGUACGUUGAUAGUUGGUUGUAACAGUAUGAAAUAAAAUAUAAAUCUUCA
Molecule: long non-coding RNA, 601 nt
Organism: Haliotis rufescens (red abalone)
Lineage: Eukaryota; Metazoa; Mollusca; Gastropoda; Lepetellida; Haliotidae
Exons: 3
Source: RefSeq, a predicted model, not a curated record